RNAcentral lists this ribosomal RNA (465 nucleotides) under uncultured bacterium. RNAcentral's name for it is "partial 16S ribosomal RNA". It matches the Rfam family "Bacterial small subunit ribosomal RNA", at positions 28 to 507 of the family's 1533-position model. The record is from RNAcentral.
GACGAACGCUGGCGGCGUGCUUAACACAUGCAAGUCGAACGGAAAGGCCCUGCUUGCAGGGUACUCGAGUGGCGAACGGGUGAGUAACACGUGGGUGAUCUGCCCUGCACUUCGGGAUAAGCCUGGGAAACUGGGUCUAAUACCGGAUAGGAGCCAUUUUUAGUGUGAUGGUUGGAAAGUUUUUUCGGUGUAGGAUGAGCUCGCGGCCUAUCAGCUUGUUGGUGGGGUAAUGGCCUACCAAGGCGGCGACGGGUAGCCGGCCUGAGAGGGUGGACGGCCACAUUGGGACUGAGAUACGGCCCAGACUCCUACGGGAGGCAGCAGUGGGGAAUAUUGCACAAUGGGCGCAAGCCUGAUGCAGCGACGCCGUGUGGGGGAUGACGGCCUUCGGGUUGUAAACUCCUUUCGCUAGGGACGAAGCUUUUUGUGACGGUACCUAGAGAAGAAGCACCGGCUAACUACGUG